CCUACGGGAGGCAGCAGUGAGGGAUAUUGCGCAAUGGGCGAAAGCUUGACGCAGCGACGCCGCGUGGGCGAGGAAGGCCUUCGGGUUGUAAAGCCCUUUUGGCAGGGAAGAGCAAGGACUGUACCUGCAGAACAAGUCACGGCUAACUACGUGCCAGCAGCCGCGGUAAAACGUAGGUGGCGAGCGUUACCCGGAUUCACUGGGCGUAAAGGACGCGUAGGCGGUCGGACGUGUCGUCCAUGAAAGCCCCCGGCUUAACUGGGGAAGGUCGGGCGAAACUGUUGGGCUGGGGUGCAGGAGAGGGGAGCGGAACUACUAGAGUAGCGGUGAAAUGCGCAGAUACUAGUAGGUACUCCGAUAGCGAAGGCAGCUCCCUGGCCUGCCACCGACGCUGAGGCGUGAAAGCGUGGGGAGCAAAAGGGAUUAGAUCCCCCUGUAGU
RNAcentral lists this ribosomal RNA (440 nucleotides) under uncultured bacterium. RNAcentral describes it as "partial 16S ribosomal RNA". It matches the Rfam family "Bacterial small subunit ribosomal RNA", at positions 338 to 794 of the family's 1533-position model. The record is from RNAcentral.